Molecule: long non-coding RNA, 518 nt
Organism: Macaca mulatta (Rhesus monkey)
Lineage: Eukaryota; Metazoa; Chordata; Mammalia; Primates; Cercopithecidae
Source: RefSeq, a predicted model, not a curated record
UGCUGCAUACUUCCUGCAUGCUGGGCUCUGUAAAGAGGAAGGGAGAGGCCCCUGCUUGGAGAAGCUUUCCAUCCAACGGAUGUGGAUGCCGUCAGUGUCAAACGUGACUUCAGGAUCACAGAAGAGGCCGAACGUGCUAAAAGGUCACACUGGAAUGAAGCAUAUAAGCCGUUUACUUACUGGAAGCGUAUCAGAGACGCACCUCGCAAAAAUGACACCGUGAAAAUCGAGUUCGAACCGGGAAGGACUUAUUCGGUACUGGGGCCUGUGUUCACCAGGGCAGCCCCUCACGAGGCCCUGGUGCCCUCAUCAUCUCGAAGCUCCCUCCCAGCUUCAGCAUGCUAAGAGCCUAAAAGAAAUUGGAAACAAACCAGUUGCCCUCUGUCCAGGUGGAGGAGUCCCUCUCUGACCAGGCAAGAGGUGCCACCCAGGGCCCCUAGCCCUGCUGCAUGGGCAAAUUAGCUCUUGGAAGAGUAAGUGCUGUGACUGAUACAAAAACAUGACAGAAAUGCCUCCAA